UACAGAGGGGGCAAGCGUUGUUCGGAAUUACUGGGCGUAAAGGGCGCGUAGGCGGCCUUCUAAGUCGAACGUGAAAUCCCCGGGCUCAACCCGGGAACUGCGUCCGAUACUGGAAGGCUUGAAUCCGGGAGAGGGAUGUGGAAUUCCCAGUGUAGCGGUGAAAUGCGUAGAUAUUGGGAGGAACACCAGUGGCGAAGGCGGUCCCCUGGGCCGGAACUGACGCUGAGGCGCGAAAGCGUGGGUAGCAAACGGG
Molecule: ribosomal RNA, 253 nt
Filed under: uncultured bacterium
Lineage: Bacteria
Description: partial 16S ribosomal RNA
Rfam family: Bacterial small subunit ribosomal RNA
Source: RNAcentral